UUGAUAAUAUGAGAUGAGUAUGUUGUUGGGGUUUAGAUUUCACCUAAUCACUUUCGUGCAUAUAAGAAUUCAUCUUCUUCAUUCAAUUUUAAUGUCACUCUUUAAAUUACUUAAAACUCGAUCCCUCCGCGAAGAAAGCCUAUCCUUAAUUACUAAACCACAAUCCCUUGCAUGCCUAAUAAUUAUCUUUACAUUACGAACAGGAGCUUAAGAUAACCAAACCUCAUAUCCC
This 232-nucleotide long non-coding RNA is filed under the name Vigna radiata. RNAcentral's name for it is "long non-coding RNA (VRAD_LNC016922)". The record is from RNAcentral. Lineage: Eukaryota; Viridiplantae; Streptophyta; Magnoliopsida; Fabales; Fabaceae.